This 424-nucleotide ribosomal RNA is filed under the name uncultured prokaryote. Its description in RNAcentral is "bacterial SSU rRNA". It matches the Rfam family "Bacterial small subunit ribosomal RNA", at positions 355 to 796 of the family's 1533-position model. The record is from RNAcentral.
UGGGGAAUAUUGGACAAUGGGCGCAAGCCUGAUCCAGCAAUGCCGCGUGAGUGAUGAAGGCCUUAGGGUUGUAAAGCUCUUUUACCAGGGAUGAUAAUGACAGUACCUGGAGAAUAAGCUCCGGCUAACUCCGUGCCAGCAGCCGCGGUAAUACGGAGGGAGCUAGCGUUGUUCGGAAUUACUGGGCGUAAAGCGCGCGUAGGCGGUCUAUUAAGUCAGGGGUGAAAUCCCGGGGCUCAACCCCGGAACUGCCCUUGAAACUGGCAGACUAGAAUCUUGGAGAGGUCAGUGGAAUUCCGAGUGUAGAGGUGAAAUUCGUAGAUAUUCGGAAGAACACCAGUGGCGAAGGCGACUGACUGGACAAGUAUUGACGCUGAGGUGCGAAAGCGUGGGGAGCAAACAGGAUUAGAUACCCCCGUAGUCC